This 890-nucleotide long non-coding RNA is filed under the name Rattus norvegicus (Norway rat). RNAcentral's name for it is "long non-coding RNA NONRATT033363". Lineage: Eukaryota; Metazoa; Chordata; Mammalia; Rodentia; Muridae. The record is from RNAcentral.
CCUGAACUGGAGCUCUGACCAAGUUUGGAAUUUAGAAACUGCCUGAACAAAACCACAGCUCUAGGAUUGGAAGGGACCAGACUCUUCCUCAGCUGUAUCUAUUCUCACGUGUGAUCCAUCUCUUAGUCGUCAAGUAUGUGCUGGUUGAAGAAUUGGGGCUUCUCACCUGCUAAGCAGUCUCUUUACCUUUGUUUCCCUGACUCCAGAAUUUGUAAAAUGUUUGGAGCUGGGGAGAUGGCUCAUCAAGUAAGAAUACUUGUUCCUGCAGAGGCCCAGGUGUGAUUCCCUGAAACCACAUAGUAGCUUACAACCACCUUGUGAUCGUUUGCAUGUUCUUAGCCCAGGGAGUGACACUGUUUGGAGGUGUGACCUUGUUAGAGUAGGUGUGUCACUGUGGGCAUGAACUUUAAGACCCUCAACCUAGCUUCCUAAAAGUCAGUCUUCAGAUCAGAUGAAGAUGUAGAACUCUCAGCUCUUUCAGCCCCAUGCCUGCCUGGACUCUGCCAUGUUCCUGCCUUGAUGAUAAUGGACUAGACCUCUGAACCUGUAAGCCAGCCCCAGUGAACUGUUGUCCCUUAUAAGAGUUGCCUUGGUCAUGGUGUCUCUUCACAGCAGUAAACCCUAACACACAUCUGUACUUCCAAUUCCAGGGGAUCCAAUGCUCUCUUCUGACCCCUUUAGGCACCAGGUGGUACACAUACAUUCAUGCAGGCAAACCAUCAUACCCAUAAGAUAAAAUCAAUAUAUACAAUGUAAGAGCUAUUAUCGUUGAAGGAGGGGGAUUGUCACUGUGGGAGGGGAAUGUGCAGGCCAUAACCCCCGUGUGGAGGUCAGAGGACAACUCUGUUCUUUAUUUCCACCCUACAUGGUCUGUGAAGGUUGAGUUCAGG